Molecule: transfer RNA, 77 nt
Filed under: Escherichia coli
Lineage: Bacteria; Pseudomonadati; Pseudomonadota; Gammaproteobacteria; Enterobacterales; Enterobacteriaceae
Description: tRNA-Arg
Rfam family: tRNA
About the family: Transfer RNA (tRNA) molecules are approximately 80 nucleotides in length. Their secondary structure includes four short double-helical elements and three loops (D, anti-codon, and T loops).
Source: RNAcentral
CCGCCAUUAGCUCAUCGGGAUAGAGCGCCAGCCUUCGGAGCUGGCUGCGCGGGGGUCGAGUCCUCGAUGGCGGUCCA